GAUGAACGCUGGCGGCGUGCCUAAUACAUGCAAGUCGAGCGAACAGACGAGGAGCUUGCUCUUCUGACGUUAGCGGCGGACGGGUGAGUAACACGUGGAUAACCUUCCUAUUCGACUUGGAUAACUUCGGGAAACCGGAGCUAAUACUGGAUAAUAUAUUGAACCGCAUGGUUCAAUAGUGAAUGACGGUUUUGCUGUCUCUUAUAGAUGGUUCCGCGCUGCAUUAGCUAGUUGGUAAGGUAACGGCUUACCAAGGCAACGAUGCGUAGCCGACCUGAGAGGGUGAUCGGCCACACUGGGACUGAGACACGGUCCAGACUCCGACGGGCGGCAGCAGUAGGGAAUCGUCCGAGAUGGGCGAAAGCCUGACGGAGCAGCGCCGCGUGAGUGAUGAAGGUCUUCGGAUCGUAAAACUCUGUUAUUAGGGAAGAACAAAUGUGUAAGUAACUAUGCACGUCUUGACGGUACCUAGUCAGAAAGCCACGGCUAACUACGUG
RNAcentral lists this ribosomal RNA (497 nucleotides) under uncultured bacterium. Its description in RNAcentral is "partial 16S ribosomal RNA". It matches the Rfam family "Bacterial small subunit ribosomal RNA", at positions 28 to 507 of the family's 1533-position model. The record is from RNAcentral.